Molecule: long non-coding RNA, 362 nt
Filed under: Felis catus (domestic cat)
Lineage: Eukaryota; Metazoa; Chordata; Mammalia; Carnivora; Felidae
Description: lncRNA (ENSFCAG00000050634.1)
Source: RNAcentral
AGCCUAAGCGGCCCUUGGGGACCAUGUUGUGUCUGGUUCCACAGAUACCCUGAACAUUCAAGUUUGCAGUGAGAAAACUUAAUUCGGGAUGACAAAAGCAUUUGGCCAUCUCUAUGCUGUCUUUGCAGUCUUCCUACCACAUACCACGUGGACAGUGAUGCUCCACCUAAAAAUGGAUUUUAAGGAGAGCUCAGCAGUGUUUCUAGUGAGUAGAAAGGCGAACUUCUUUCCUUAGAGGUCUUCGAGUUACUCACUAUUUCUUUUUAGGGCCUGACACAGUGCCUUGCACUUUGUAGGGGCUCCUUAAAUGCUCAGGAAAAUGAAUGUGUGAAUGAAUGAAUAAAGGAAUGUGUGAUCGUGCA